This 465-nucleotide ribosomal RNA is filed under the name uncultured bacterium. Its description in RNAcentral is "partial 16S ribosomal RNA". It matches the Rfam family "Bacterial small subunit ribosomal RNA", at positions 28 to 507 of the family's 1533-position model. The record is from RNAcentral.
GACGAACGCUGGCGGCGUGCUUAACACAUGCAAGUCGAACGGAAAGGCCCCCUUGUGGGGUACUCGAGUGGCGAACGGGUGAGUAACACGUGAGUAACCUACCCUUGACUUUGGGAUAACUUCAGGAAACUGGGGCUAAUACCGGAUAGGAGCUCCUGCUGCAUGGUGGGGGUUGGAAAGUUUCGGCGGUUGGGGAUGGACUCGCGGCUUAUCAGCUUGUUGGUGGGGUAGUGGCUCACCAAGGCUUUGACGGGUAGCCGGCCUGAGAGGGUGACCGGCCACAUUGGGACUGAGAUACGGCCCAGACUCCUACGGGAGGCAGCAGUGGGGAAUAUUGCACAAUGGGCGGAAGCCUGAUGCAGCAACGCCGCGUGCGGGAUGACGGCCUUCGGGUUGUAAACCGCUUUCGCCUGUGACGAAGCGUGAGUGACGGUGAUGGGUAAAGAAGCACCGGCUAACUACGUG